AUCCUGCAAGACUUCAUUCAGAGGUAUGAUGAGAACUCAAAUUAGUUGCUGAUUCGAAUUGUCAUGCAUCAGCAUCGAAUCAUCAACUAAUUUGAGUUCUCAUCAUACCUCUUAAUAAAGUCUUCCAGGAU
Marchantia polymorpha subsp. ruderalis is the source of this 131-nucleotide non-coding RNA. The record is from the annotation of a GenBank genome assembly. NCBI's taxonomy places the organism in Eukaryota, Viridiplantae, Streptophyta, Marchantiopsida, Marchantiales, Marchantiaceae.